AUAAAAGCAAACUAUGAGUAUAAUUUAAAGCAUGUUCAUACAGGGAAGAUACACACAGGUAAUAUGUACUUACAAUCCAACAUUUUACGCACAACUAGUGAGAAAGAUAGCAAAAUAGGAUUUUGAUGAUACAAACAGAAACUUCUGUGAUGAAUUUAUUUUCCCAGAAUGGACUUAAUCCACCAUAUGCCUUUUGUAUCUUUGGGACCUUCUCCUUCUGGUGGAGGAUCAUUCUGUGGUGUCUUGUGUAGUUUGCUUACAUCAUAACCCUCCUCCUUGGCCUUUUCAAGCAGCUGAUUGUAUAUCUCCUCGUUAAGGUGAGUAUUUCUGCUCAAUAUCCAAAGAUUCUUCCUUGAAGGCUCCCCAACCAAGACAUACUGGUAAUCUUGAUCAAUAUACAAAACCCAGUAAUUGCCAACCACUGGAAUGAUUGGAAGAAAAGGAGGCAAAUAAAAUUUGACCUUGAACUUGGCCUCUUGGCUUGAAGGCUCAGCCUUGUAAGCCACACCUUCUAUGGAACUUCUCUUGCCAUCACUCCAAGUUUCAUUCACCACAUUCACAGUUCCAUCUUCCUUGAGUGUAUAAGUAGCUCUUGUGUUUACACCAUUCUUGGGUUGAUUUCUUGAGGGAAUUGAAGCUAUCUCAUACCAUCUUCCCAUGUACUUCUCAAGAUCCAACCCUUUUACAACUUCCAUCUCUUUCUUUGCCAUUGUUUCAAUUCAG
Molecule: unclassified non-coding RNA, 723 nt
Filed under: Hevea brasiliensis (rubber tree)
Lineage: Eukaryota; Viridiplantae; Streptophyta; Magnoliopsida; Malpighiales; Euphorbiaceae
Source: RNAcentral